Gallus gallus (chicken) is the source of this 313-nucleotide long non-coding RNA. NCBI's taxonomy places the organism in Eukaryota, Metazoa, Chordata, Aves, Galliformes, Phasianidae. The record is from Ensembl.
CCGACUUAUAAAAUACCAACCUAACCACGCCACUCUAACUGUACAUUUGUUGAUUGUAUAGCAUGACAACUCUAACUUUCUUAAUUUCAGUCUAUACGUCAAAUACUGACAUGAUGAUAGCAGUUGUCCCACAAGGAAUAAAAAGAGGCCUGAGCUCCUGGAUGAGAUAAAAAUAUGUAAGAGCAUUAUUCGUGCUUCAGAGGAAGUCUGGCUGAAAGCUGAGAGUAAAAGCCAACCCAUUCUUCAAGCAUUGGCAUUUGAGCCUAGUUUUCUUAAAAUGUCACCUUUUUAUUGCAAUCAGCAUAAGUGUCAG